GCAUAUGGAGGUUCCCAGGCUAAGGAUCCAAUUGGACCUGCAGCUGCUGGCCUACACAACAGCUGCAGCAACGUUGGAUCCAAGCCUCAUCUGUGACCUACACCACAGCUCACAGCAACGCUGAAUCGCUAACCCACUGUGUGAGGCCAGGGAUUGAACCUGCAACCUCGUGGUUCCUCGAUGGAUUCCUUUCUGGUGCGCCAUGAGGGGAACUCCUACACAUACAUUCUUUAAGGUCUGAAGAAAAUACACUGAACAUUAACACCGCUUGAUGAAUUUAAGAGUGGUUUCCAAUUUUUUCUUUAUUCUGGACUGCAUUUUGUAAUUUUUCACGUAAAUCAUUUUUAUAAUUAGGACAAUGCUAAUGGCUAUUUUUACUGUAAAAGUAGGGACAGAGUUAACAGAGGAAAUGUGCCUCUCUUAAAAGGUAUUUUGUUUUGCACAAUUUCAAGCAUGCAAAAAAUGCAUGUACAGAAAAGUCAGAGCACAAGUACACUAAAAUAUUAAGAAUGGUUGUCCAAGUGGUAGGAGUAUGAGAUUUUUUCCCUUCCUACAUUUGUGUAUAGUCCACAUUUAAAAAUAUUUUCAUUGCAAAUGUGUUACUUUAUAGCUAAAAGUACUGGAAACCAUGUAUAGUUCUUGCUGUUGCCUUCACAGAAAUAUUUAUCUACUGAAAUCUCAUUAUUUCAUGUCUUCACUCAGCAUCACUUAACUGUAAUGAAAAUUAUAUGUUUAGAAUGUUGUGUUUUGGACAAGUCUGCAGCAUUGCUGCUGUUGAGAAAGCCUGGUAAACCUAUACCACCUGGACUUUACAGCCCUACCUUGAAGUAUACAAACAAUUAAAUUAGUCUUUACUUAGUGUCAGCUUUCACAAAGAGACUUUACUGUACUAAAGAGUGAUAUCUUCUGGCGGAUUUACUCUUCUGCUUUAUAAAUUUCCAUACGAUCAAAACCAGCUGCUGAAGUGCAGAGAAUGAGGCCAAACCUGAUUCUAACGGCGAAAACAGUUCAGUCAAAAAAUAGAAAUCUCCAAGCCCUCCUUUGAAAAUAUUGGUAAUUUUUGUGCAUCACAGGUGUUUUAGUAAGCUUGUAUAUUUAAGCAUUUUUGAAAACCCUUUUUCUCAUUUCUGGUGGAUUUUUGCUUUAUUGUACUUUUUAUCAGAGUUUCUGUCCUCUGUUCUCUGUGGCAACAAAACUUCAGAAGUAGCCUAAAAUCACCAAAUGAUCAGUUAAAUAGAUUAUAGCUUUCAAAAGUAUAUGUACACUAUAUACAAAAAAAUCAUUUUUAAAUGGAAAGAAUGAUUGGAUACAAUAAUUUAAACUAGUAUGCAAAAAUCCAUAAAAAUAUUAAGAAUAACAAUCCCAAGUACUCCAAAAUUUUAGUUCCAUAUUUUCUUUUCGAAAAUAUUGUUAGUAUUUUCUUCCCUAAUUUCAAAAGCUGUAUGUUAUCCACUUUGAAUUAUGUCUAGCAAUUUAUCUAAAGAUACUUGCAUAAGCAUCUUUGCAUUGUUUUCUAAAUCCACCCAUUAGAAUUUUUUCUGCCAACAGAUGCAUUUUAAAAUUCAGAACCUUGGGAAGUUCUCAUGCAGCGGGUUAAGGAUCCAGCAUUGCUGCAGCUGUGGCACCUGCAGUGCGGGUUUAACCCCUGGCCCAGAAACUUCCACAUGCCACAGUUGUGGCCAAAAAAAAAAAAAAAAAGAUAAAAUACAAUUCAGAACUUUGCAUUUCAAAAAACUGUAGGCACAUAUAUCAUAUAUUAGUUCAUGCAGCUUACACUUUCACCUUGCUGGAUCUGGGAACACCAGAUAUUCAAACAUUAAUAUAUCUGAACCAGACAGUGGGUAAAGCCACAGUAAGUUAGGUGAAUAAAAACUAUAGAGAGCUUUUGGUCAGUUCAAGAAGUGUUCUGACACCAAGAGCUAUAAACGGGAGGAUGUGUAAAGAGACGGAGGGAAGGAGAGAGGAAGGGCCUUUUGUUUGCAGAAAUUUAGAUUUUGAAAUUGCAGGUAAGUGAUUUCAGAUAGGACUAGUUACUUUAUAAAUCUUAUUUGUACAGUAAAAUACCAUACUAUCCUACAAUGUUAGGUGAAGAAAGUUACAAAAUGAUGUAAAAAGCACAAUUCUCUAGUGUGGGGGAAAACUGUGUUAUGUAUAAAUAAAUUACAUGGUUACUAGAAAGGUGAUGUUACAUAGGAUAUUUAUUUCACUUUUUACCUUUUGGAAUUGAAAAAAAAUAAAUAAGCAGCAUAUUUUAAUUUUACUACUGAAAAGAAAAGAUGAUUAUUGAUUCAACAAUAUUUAGUGAAUUCAUAUUCUGUUAUUGGGGACUGUUGUAAGGACAUAAUUUUUUAAUUAAUUAAUUUAUUUGCCACACUGGAGGCACGUGAAAGUUCCUGAGCAGGGCAUCAGACUGAACCACAGCAAUGGCAAUGCUGGAUGCUUAACCGCUAGGCCACCGGGAACUCCAGGACACAGCAGUUUUUAAAAAGUUACUUCUCUCAUGGAGUUUACAUUCUGCUAAUGUCAUACUACAACAACAGCAACAAAAAAAGAUUUAAAGUGCUAUGAAGAAAAAUAAAACAGAAGGGUUAUUCAAAGUAGGAUCACCAGGCUUAUGAGGUAACACUCAUUUUAAAAUUUUAAAAUGAAUAUUCAUUAUCAGAAAGAAAAGCAGUAUACCAUCAAGUCCGAAGAAUGUCGAGAGCAUCUACAUUCCAACCCCCGAGACCCAAUUAUGAUAAAGAGCACCCAGAAACCUGUACAAAUAAAACUUUGUAAAACUAAAAAGGGGAGUUCUCUGUGGCUCAGCAGGUUAACGACCUGGCACUGUCACGGCUGUGGCUUGGGUUGCUGCUGUGGCAUGAGUUCAAUCCCUGGCCCAGUGCACUCUGCUAAGCAAUGUUUAACUCACAUGAGGCUUUUAAGAAAAGGUUAAAGAUGCAAUAUUAUAAACACAGGAAGAAUAAAAUUAAAGAUAUUCUAUGGGGACAAAAAAGUUAAAGCUAUCAAAUAUCUAACAAGGAUUCAGAAUUCCAUUGACUUCUGACGCAGAAAUUUUCCUAAAUGGGUAGGAUAGCAUCUACCGAUACAGAAAACUUAAUAAGCUGUACCCUGAAUUUAAGGAAACAGAGUGACCAAACUCAAGAUAAGCAAUAAUAAAGGGUUAAAUAUAUAGCAACUCUUGCACACACUGCUGAAAGCCUGGAAGGUGAAGCAAAUGAAGAGCCGGCCAACCAGAAGAGAAUUAUUUCUGGCCUUCCGUCCGGUGUGGAAUUUGGCUCUCAGUGCUCAGGACAGUAGCAGAAGAGGCGGCUGGCUCCUGACCUCGAGAGCUUUUUUGAUUAAGUAUCUCUCACUCUCCCCCUUCCACCCAGAAGUCACUUUAAAAAAAGACCAAUGAGCAAUAAAAACAACUUUUUUUUUUUAAAUUAGAGAAGAGUCUGAAAUAACAUUUGAAGUUUAGCAAAACCAUAUUCCCGAUAGAAAAGAAAAUUCAAAAAUAUGAAAGGGAGUGGGAGACAUUUAUAUAUAUAAACUUAGAAACUUUAAGUCUAAGGUAUAUAGAUGAAAACUGAAA
Molecule: long non-coding RNA, 3577 nt
Filed under: Sus scrofa (pig)
Lineage: Eukaryota; Metazoa; Chordata; Mammalia; Artiodactyla; Suidae
Description: lncRNA (ENSSSCG00045023550.1)
Source: RNAcentral